Molecule: ribosomal RNA, 301 nt
Filed under: uncultured bacterium
Lineage: Bacteria
Description: partial 16S ribosomal RNA
Rfam family: Bacterial small subunit ribosomal RNA
Source: RNAcentral
CAGCCGCCGCGGUAAUCCGAAGGGGGCUAGCGUUGCUCGGAAUGACUGGGCGUAAAGGGCGCGUAGGCGGAUGGCACAGUCAGAUGUGAAAUUCCCGGGCUUAACCUGGGGGCUGCAUUUGAUACGUGUUGUCUAGAGUGAGGAAGAGGGUCGUGGAAUUCCCAGUGUAGAGGUGAAAUUCGUAGAUAUUGGGAAGAACACCGGUGGCGAAGGCGGCGACCUGGUCCUUUACUGACGCUGAGGCGCGAAAGCGUGAGGAGCAAACAGGAUUAGAUACCCCCGUAGUCCCUGUCUCUUAUAC